AUGACUCUUUCCCCUGUUCUCUGAAAUUCUCGGUAGUAAUGUGCAGUUUCGGUUUUGCAUUUUAUAAAAGUAGUAAACGAAGUCCAAAUGACUUGAAAUUUUACCGGUGUGCUCAAGACUCAUGUAGAGACUUGCUAUAAAAUUUUCAAAGCUUUUUGACAUCGAAAAACCGUCGAUCACAGUAGGUCAGUGGCCUACGAAAAUCACCAAAAUCUCAUCUCAAACUCUUUAAAUGCUCAACUCAACAUCCCUUCAAGAAAACUCAUCAAGA
RNAcentral lists this long non-coding RNA (271 nucleotides) under Salvia miltiorrhiza (redroot sage). RNAcentral describes it as "long non-coding RNA (SMIL_LNC012520)". Lineage: Eukaryota; Viridiplantae; Streptophyta; Magnoliopsida; Lamiales; Lamiaceae. The record is from RNAcentral.